UACAGAGGGUGCGAUCGUUGCUCGGAAUUACUGGGCGUAAAGCGCACGUAGGCGGAUCUUUAAGUCAGGGGUGAAAUCCCGAGGCUCAACCUCGGAACUGCCUUUGAUACUGGGGAUCUCGAGUCCGGGAGAGGUGAGUGGAACUGCGAGUGUAGAGGUGAAAUUCGUAGAUAUUCGCAAGAACACCAGUGGCGAAGGCGGCUCACUGGCCCGGUACUGACGCUGAGGCACGAAAGCGUGGGGAGCAAACAGG
RNAcentral lists this ribosomal RNA (253 nucleotides) under uncultured bacterium. Its description in RNAcentral is "partial 16S ribosomal RNA". It matches the Rfam family "Bacterial small subunit ribosomal RNA", at positions 524 to 776 of the family's 1533-position model. The record is from RNAcentral.